CCUACGAGAGGCAGCAGUGGGGGAUAUUGCACAAUGGGGGAAACCCUGAUGCAGCGACGCCGCGUGAGUGAAGAAGUAUUUCGGUAUGUAAAGCUCUAUCAGCAGGGAAGACAAAAGACGGUACCUGACUAAGAAGCCCCGGCUAACUACGUGCCAGCAGCCGCGGUAAUACGUAGGGGGCAAGCGUUAACCGGAUUUACUGGGUGUAAAGGGAGCGUAGACGGCAAUACAAGUCGGAAGUGAAAUACCACGGCUCAACCUGGGAACUGCUUUGGAAACUGGAUGGCUGGAGUGCUGGAGAGGUAGGCGGAAUUCCUAGUGUAGCGGUGAAAUGCGUAGAUAUUAGGAGGAACACCAGUGGCGAAGGCGGCUUACUGUACAGUAACUGACGUUGAGGCUCGAAAGCGUGGGGAGCAAACAGGAUUAGAUACCCUAGUAGUC
This 441-nucleotide ribosomal RNA is filed under the name uncultured bacterium. Its description in RNAcentral is "partial 16S ribosomal RNA". It matches the Rfam family "Bacterial small subunit ribosomal RNA", at positions 338 to 795 of the family's 1533-position model. The record is from RNAcentral.